GAUGAACGCUGGCGGCGUGCCUAAUACAUGCGAGUCGAGCGAACGGACGAGAAGCUUGCUUCUCUGAUGUUAGCGGCGGACGGGUGAGUAACACGUGGAUAACCUACCUAUAAGACUGGGAUAACUUCGGGAAACCGGAGCUAAUACCGGAUAAUAUUUUGAACCGCAUGGUUCAAAAGUGAAAGACGGUGUUGCUGUCACUUAUAGCUGGAUCCGCGCUGCAUUAGCUAGUUGGUAAGGUAACGGCUUACCAAGGCAACGAGGCAUAGCCGACCUGAGAGGCUGAUCGGCCACCCUGGAACGUAGACACGGUCCAGACUCCUACGGGAGGCAGCAGUAGGGAAUCUUCCGCAAUGGGCGAAAGCCUGACGGAGCAACGCCGCGUGAGUGAUGAAGGUCUUCCGAUCGUAAAACUCUGUUAUGAGGGAAGAACAUAUGUGUAAGUAACUGUGCACAUCUUGACGGUACCUAAUCAGAAAGCCACGGCUAACUACGUG
This 497-nucleotide ribosomal RNA is filed under the name uncultured bacterium. RNAcentral describes it as "partial 16S ribosomal RNA". It matches the Rfam family "Bacterial small subunit ribosomal RNA", at positions 28 to 507 of the family's 1533-position model. The record is from RNAcentral.